Molecule: ribosomal RNA, 459 nt
Filed under: uncultured bacterium
Lineage: Bacteria
Description: partial 16S ribosomal RNA
Rfam family: Bacterial small subunit ribosomal RNA
Source: RNAcentral
CCUACGGGAGGCAGUAGUGAGGAAUAUUGGUCAAUGGGAGAGAUCCUGAACCAGCCAAGCCGCGUGAGGGAAGACGGCCCUAUGGGUUGUAAACCUCUUUUGUCGGAGAAUAAAACCCGGGACGUGUCCCGGACUGCGUGUAUCCGAAGAAAAAGCAUCGGCUAUCACUGGGCCCGCAGCCGCGGUAAUAUGGAGGAUGUGAGCGUUAUCCGGAUUUUUUGGGUUUAAAGGGUGCGCAGGCGGUCCGUUAUGUCAGCGGUAAAAUUGUGGGGCUCAACCCCGUCGAGCCGUUGAAACUGGCAGACUUGAGUUGGCGAAGAGUACGCGGAAUGCACGGUGUAGCGGUGAAAUGCAUAGAUAUCGCGAAGAACUCCGAUUGCGAAGGCAGCGUACCGGCGCCAGACUGACGCUGAGGCACGAAAGCGUGGGGAUCGAACAGGAUUAGAUACCCCAGUAGUC